AGCUUUGCGCAGUGGCAGUAUCAUAGCCAAUGAGGUUUAUCCGAGGUGCGAUUAUUGCUAAUUAAACACUUCAGGUUUCAAGUUUAUUUUAAGGCAUGUGCAUGCAUUUUAGCUUGUUUGUGUGUGUAUCAUCUGAUU
Molecule: small nuclear RNA, 138 nt
Organism: Mustela erminea (ermine)
Lineage: Eukaryota; Metazoa; Chordata; Mammalia; Carnivora; Mustelidae
Product: U4 spliceosomal RNA
Exons: 1
Source: RefSeq, a predicted model, not a curated record